RNAcentral lists this small RNA (1644 nucleotides) under Pan troglodytes (chimpanzee). RNAcentral describes it as "retained intron". Lineage: Eukaryota; Metazoa; Chordata; Mammalia; Primates; Hominidae. The record is from RNAcentral.
AUUACGUCAGCCUGGGACUGGCAACACGGAGUAAACGACCGCGCCGCCAGCCUGAGGGCUAUAAAAGGGGUGAUGCAACGCUCUCCAAGCCACAGUCGCACGCAGCCAGGCGCGCACUGCACAGCUCUCUUCUCUCGCCGCCGCCCGAGCGCACCCUUCAGCCCGCGCGCCGGCCGUGAGUCCUCGGUGCUCGCCCGCCGGCCAGACAAACAGCCCGCCCGACCCCGUCCCGACCCUGCCCGUCCUCCGGACCCUGGCCGCCCCGAGCGGAGCCUGGAGCAAAAUGAUGCUUCAACACCCAGGCCAGGUCUCUGCCUCGGAAGUGAGUGCUUCUGCCAUCGUCCCCUGCCUGUCCCCUCCUGGGUCACUGGUGUUUGAGGAUUUUGCUAACCUGACGCCCUUUGUCAAGGAAGAGCUGAGGUUUGCCAUCCAGAACAAGCACCUCUGCCACCGGAUGUCCUCUGCGCUGGAGUCAGUCACUGUCAGCGACAGACCCCUCGGGGUGUCCAUCACAAAAGCCGAGGUAGCCCCUGAAGAAGAUGAAAGGAAAAAGAGGCGACGAGAAAGAAAUAAGAUUGCAGCUGCAAAGUGCCGAAACAAGAAGAAGGAGAAGACGGAGUGCCUGCAGAAAGUGAGUGCCUUCUAGCCUUACCCUUCCUCUCGCUCACGCCUGUCCUCACCAGCUUCAUGUGGCUAUCAGAAGAAGAGUUAGAAAACCCCCUACUUGGUUAUAGUUUCCCAAGAAGGGCCUUGUAGCUGGUAGCAGAAAUGCCAGUUGCAGAAUGAGGAGGUGGCAAAGCAGUUAACACAAUGGAUGUGACUGUGGAUGUAUAAAAACAGGUGUGUGAAUUCGUCUGAUGCCUGACUCCCAGCAGCCUCGGCCGGUUCAUACAUGUCCAUCAGCUUCCAGGCUGCAGGACAUGCCAGCCCAGUUAAAGAGGCUUCACUUGACUGUUUUCCUGAGAAAAGGAAGCUGCCAGCUCUCAUUUGGCUCACUAUGAAAAGCCUUUAAUUAAUCUCUUCAAACAAGUUAUUUCCUUAAUCCACAAGCAGUGGUUACACUUGCUUUGCAUUCUUGUCUGGUUCCUAACUCUAGAGCCCUUCUCCCUGGCUUAGCCAGUAAGCUGAGCCCCUGGCUGCGUUCAGCCGGCCCGCCUGAGAGACACUAGGGGAAAUAGCUUUUGUGGGCAAGCAGGGUGGCCGGUGGUGCUCAGCAGUCUUUCCAGUGGCUGUGUCCCUCCUCCAAAUGUGGACAGGCCAUGACAGAGUCUUAGCCCAAGUCCCACAGAUCCCCAAAAGUUCUGUUGAUUGCUUCAGGGGAUCAGUGAAAAUUAGGGAAUUUUGUGUGUUGCCAUAUACAUUUUUUCUGGGGAGAUGAGCUUCUCAUUGAGAUCUGUGACUCAGAAUCGACUAAGCCACCAUAAGUCUGGAUUUCUCCCCAGCUCCUAAGGCCCUUUUGGGUCCAGAAGACCUGCAUAUGGGCUGUUGACUCAUGCAAAUGAGGUAUCUGAACUGCAGCUUCAGUAUUAGCAGAGUCACAGGCCGCCUCUGUGGCAUCACCAGGGUUUCUCUGAAGAAGAGGGUCUGCAUUUUCCUAAACCCAGUGCUGCUCUCCCAUCUCCCAUCUUCCUCUCGCAGCUUCAU